CAGAUGAUGCGACGAUGAUGGCGACGACUGUGUAUUGCUGCAAAAGACCCCAAAGAUCACACUAUUUGGAAGAGAACUAAUGAAGCCCUUCGUCACGAGGACUGAUGUGUUUCUCCCUUUCAAAGUUCUGAAGCUUUUUACAGUUUGGACACGUUGCACAACUACCAGAAUAUGUUUUACUUGUCUUAGGAAGAUGAUUUGUGUAGUGGGUGUAGUGCAUGAAAUAGCUGGUUUUAAGAUGAGCUUGUUAAUUCGAUCAAUUCACGUUAAGGAUUCUUUUCUCGUACUAUGUAACUUUCCGGUUUGGUGUUGUUUAUUUGAACUGAAUUUGAUGAGAAAGCGAUGAAACAUUUAAAUUAUCAAUUUGCUCGUGUAUGGCGCACGUCAGGAACUGAUGCAAAAGAUCUAACAGAGAUGGAGUCAAUAAACUAAGAAAGUAACAUGAGCUGUGUGACAUUAAUCUGUCUGUUUCAUUUUUUCAGGAUCUCGCAAACGCUGCUUCUUGCAAUGACGUUGAAAGGUGGACGACUUUUUCAUUUCAAGCGGAUGAAGCGCAACUAUGCAGUUCGUUCGACUUACUUAAAUUGCGCAUCAGCGCCCAAGCUUUUAAUAAUUUCUAAACCAAUUUACGCCAAUUUAUGAUGAAAAACUCAUUCGGAGAAGGCUAAAAAUAAAUGCGCAAAGGAACUUUGUCUCAAAAUGCCUUAGUAAGCACUAUUUUUACCACAUCAUGAUGAACGCUUCCACAAUGAAGCUGCCAAUUAUUUACAGUUAUCGACAACCCUUAUCGUUUGGCUGCGUUGGGCAUAUAAACGCAGAAGAGUCAUUCAAAGUAAAAUUGUGCGUUAACCUUCUACUUCCCAGAGACUUAAAAACUUAGUAUGAAAUAUGCCUUGCGGUACGUCUGGAGCAUGUGGGAAUACGACUUGUGACGCGGAUUAUUGAACGGGGGGAUCUCCUCAUGACAGAGAUUGCUGUUGUUGCUGCUCCCCGUGCUGCACGAUUCUCUGACGCAAGAGACGAGGGUGCACAAUCUUGUGAUUAUAAAGACUAUAUGACGACGAUGGCGACGACUGUGUACUGCUGUAAAAGACCCCGAAGAUCACGCUAUUUGGAAGAGAACUAAUGAAGCCCUUCGUCACGAGGACUGAUGUGUUUCUCCCUGUUAAAAAUUCUGGAGUUAAUUACAGUUAGGACACGUUGCGCAUCGACUACAAUAUGUUUUACUCGUAUUAGGAGUUAGAAAUUGAGUUUUUUAGAAUUUUUUCACAUAUUAUGGAAAUUUUCGGCUAAGUGCUGUUUAUUUGACCCGAGUUUGAUGACAAAGCGAUGUAAAAUUUGAGUUAUAAAUUCGCUCGUGUAUGGCGCACGUCGGGAACCGAUGUAAAAGACCUAACAGUGAUGGAGUUAAUAAACAAAGAAAGUAACAUGAA
This is a non-coding RNA of Pocillopora verrucosa, 1433 nucleotides long. The record is from RefSeq and is a predicted model, not a curated record. NCBI's taxonomy places the organism in Eukaryota, Metazoa, Cnidaria, Anthozoa, Scleractinia, Pocilloporidae.